AUUGAACGCUGGCGGCAGGCUUAACACAUGCAAGUCGAACGGCAACACGAAGUAGCUUGCUUCUUCGCUGGCGAGGGGCGGACGGGUGAGUAAUGAGUGGGCAACUUCCUGAUGGAGGGGGAUAACUACGGGGAACGGUAGCUAAAACCGCAGAACGCCCCAAGCCCAGGGAGGGGGAGCGAGGGGCCUCUUUCCGUCGGGUGUGCCCAGGUGGGAUUUGCUAGUUGGUGGGGGAAAGGGUCACCUAGGCGACGAUCCGUAGCGGGGGUGAGAGGAGGAACAGCCCCCCUGGAACUGAGCCACGGCCCAGACUCCUACGGGAGGCAGCAGUGGGGAAUGGUGCACAAUGGGCGGAAGCCUGAUCCAGCCAUGCCGCGUGUCGGAAGAAGGCCUUCGGGUUGUAAAGUACUUUUUGUGGGGAGGAAGGGCGUCAAGAUAAUACCUUGACUCAUUGACGGUACCGGAAGAAGAAGCACCGGCUAACUCCGUG
Molecule: ribosomal RNA, 490 nt
Filed under: uncultured bacterium
Lineage: Bacteria
Description: partial 16S ribosomal RNA
Rfam family: Bacterial small subunit ribosomal RNA
Source: RNAcentral